GCUUGUCUCAAAGAUUAAGCCAUGCACGUCUAAGUAUAAGCGAUUAUACUGUGAAACUGCGAAUGGCUCAUUAUAUCAGUUAUAGUUUAUUUGAUGGUUCUUGCUACUUGGAUAACCGUAGUAAUUCUAGAGCUAAUACAUGCGUCAAACCUCGACUUCUGGGAGAGGUGUAUUUAUUAGAUGGAAACCAAUGCGGGGCAACCCGGUAUAUGGUGAUUCAUAAUAACUUUCAGAUCGAUCGCAAGAUCGAUGCAUCAUUCAAGUUUCUGCCCUAUCAGCUUUGGAUGGUAGGGUAUUGGCCUACCAUGGCUUUAACGGGUAACGGAGAAUUAGGGUUCGAUUCCGGAGAGGGAGCCUGAGAAAUGGCUACCACAUCCAAGGAAGGCAGCAGG
This 392-nucleotide ribosomal RNA is filed under the name uncultured Chrysophyceae. RNAcentral describes it as "partial small subunit ribosomal RNA". It matches the Rfam family "Eukaryotic small subunit ribosomal RNA", at positions 30 to 432 of the family's 1831-position model. The record is from RNAcentral. Lineage: Eukaryota; Chrysophyceae.